ACGGAGGCCGCAGUAGGGAAUAUUGCACAAUGGGGGAAACCCUGAUGCAGCAACGCCACGUGUGGGAAGAAGCAUUUCGGUGUGUAAACCACUGUCGUGAAGGAAUAAUGCUGGACCUCGGUCCAGUUGAAUGUACUUUGAAAGGAAGCACCGGCAAACCUCGUGCCAGCAGCCGCGGUAAUACGAGGGGUGCAAGCGUUGUUCGGAAUCACUGGGCGUAAAGGGAGCGCAGGCGGAGAUGCAAGCAGUCUGUACAAUACCGGGGCCCAACCCCGGACCUGCAGACUGGACUGUUUCUCUUGGAUAGCUCAGGGGCUGGCGAAAUUCCUGGUGUAGCGGUGGAAUGCGUAGAGAUCAGGAAGAACACCGAUGGCGAAGGCAGCCAGCUGGGGGCUUAUGGACGCUCAUGCUCGAAAGUGCGGGUAGCAAACAGGAUUAGAUACCCUGGUA
This 450-nucleotide ribosomal RNA is filed under the name uncultured Fibrobacter sp. Its description in RNAcentral is "partial 16S ribosomal RNA". It matches the Rfam family "Bacterial small subunit ribosomal RNA", at positions 341 to 792 of the family's 1533-position model. The record is from RNAcentral. Lineage: Bacteria; Pseudomonadati; Fibrobacterota; Fibrobacteria; Fibrobacterales; Fibrobacteraceae.